Molecule: transfer-messenger RNA, 363 nt
Filed under: Hyphomicrobiales bacterium
Lineage: Bacteria; Pseudomonadati; Pseudomonadota; Alphaproteobacteria; Hyphomicrobiales
Description: Rhizobiales bacterium (beach sand metagenome) transfer-messenger RNA
Rfam family: Alphaproteobacteria transfer-messenger RNA
About the family: Bacterial tmRNA, also known as 10Sa RNA or SsrA, is named for its dual tRNA and mRNA-like properties.
Source: RNAcentral
CAUCUUUUCUUAAAGCCCCGGAGUGCUUAUAUUAAACCUGCCGGCUUGCCGGCUAUGGCGAUAAAUGGGCGUCGUAAUAAACCUAUCGGACCCGGGGGCAGUACCCGGCGCCUCCACCAAAUGCCGUCAGGAGGCUGAACUGACGGUAUCUGUGGGGGCGAAACAGGAUCGACGAGGGCGUAAAGGACGUACUUUUGCUCGGCAUGGUACCGCCGUUAUCGGGCCGUUUUAUAGUUGCAAACGACAACUAUGCUCCGGUGGCUCAGGCUGCGUAACGCAGUUUGAUCAUCGAAAUUCAAGUCCUGGGCCGUAGCAGGCUCUAGGCGGGGUUUGGAGGGCACCUGGCAACAGAAGCCCUCCGCU